UACGAAGGGGGCUAGCGUUGUUCGGAUUUACUGGGCGUAAAGCGCACGUAGGCGGAUCUUUAAGUCAGAGGUGAAAUCCCAAGGCUCAACCUUGGAACUGCCUUUGAUACUGGGGAUCUCGAGUCCGGGAGAGGUGAGUGGAACUGCGAGUGUAGAGGUGAAAUUCGUAGAUAUUCGCAAGAACACCAGUGGCGAAGGCGGCUCACUGGCCCGGUACUGACGCUGAGGUGCGAAAGCGUGGGGAGCAAACAGGG
RNAcentral lists this ribosomal RNA (254 nucleotides) under uncultured bacterium. Its description in RNAcentral is "partial 16S ribosomal RNA". It matches the Rfam family "Bacterial small subunit ribosomal RNA", at positions 524 to 777 of the family's 1533-position model. The record is from RNAcentral.